This 478-nucleotide unclassified non-coding RNA is filed under the name Macroclinidium rigidulum. RNAcentral describes it as "partial miscellaneous RNA". The record is from RNAcentral. Lineage: Eukaryota; Viridiplantae; Streptophyta; Magnoliopsida; Asterales; Asteraceae.
CUGGCUUUUGGUUGCUUGCUUUGCCUUUGUGCUGAGCGGGUGGCCAUUAGCUGGGGCAGUUUCGGGGAAUUGCGACCGUAAAGGUGCAUGAGUGGUGUUUGGUUUGUUAUGGGUGGUUGGCUGUCUGCUUGUGCAGCAACGUCCACGCAUGCUUACCUUUUCAUUUAAGCGCCAAGGCGUGCUUUGCCUUGAGCGUUUAGCGGGUUUCCUGUGUUGCAUACCUAAUUGAUGGUAUUCUAGAGAACAUUGUUGUUCUUUUCGUCGUGCGUCGCUCAUGUGGCGUGAGACGAACCUUGUAGCGGUCUCUAUGAUCCAUCUUGUCAAUGUCCAUGCAUUGAUGACUUGGUCCUAUGAGCAUUGCUUGGUGUCUUGGAUACGGAACCUUAUGCGGGCAUGGGUCGUACGUGAUCCUUCAUUUUGCCCUUCUUAAGCGUUCUCGCUUCUCCAAAACGACUGCCUGUCAUGUGUUGGCAUGUCC